AUGAACACUGGCGGCGUGCCUAAUACAUGCAAGUCGAGCGAACAGACGAGGAGCUUGCUCCUCUGACGUUAGCGGCGGACGGGUGAGUAACACGUGGAUAACCUACCUAUAAGACUGGGAUAACUUCGGGAAACCGGAGCUAAUACCGGAUAAUAUAUUGAACCGCAUGGUUCAAUAGUGAAAGACGGUUUUGCUGUCACUUAUAGAUGGAUCCGCGCCGCAUUAGCUAGUUGGUAAGGUAACGGCUUACCAAGGCAACGAUGCGUAGCCGACCUGAGAGGGUGAUCGGCCACACUGGAACUGAGACACGGUCCAGACUCCUACGGGAGGCAGCAGUAGGGAAUCUUCCGCAAUGGGCGAAAGCUUGACGGAGCAACGCCGCGUGAGUGAUGAAGGUCUUCGGAUCGUAAAACUCUGUUAUUAGGGAAGAACAAAUGUGUAAGUAACUAUGCACGUCUUGACGGUACCUAAUCAGAAAGCCACGGCUAACUACGUG
RNAcentral lists this ribosomal RNA (496 nucleotides) under uncultured bacterium. Its description in RNAcentral is "partial 16S ribosomal RNA". It matches the Rfam family "Bacterial small subunit ribosomal RNA", at positions 29 to 507 of the family's 1533-position model. The record is from RNAcentral.